RNAcentral lists this ribosomal RNA (369 nucleotides) under uncultured organism. RNAcentral's name for it is "bacterial SSU rRNA". It matches the Rfam family "Bacterial small subunit ribosomal RNA", at positions 526 to 896 of the family's 1533-position model. The record is from RNAcentral.
CGGAGGGUGCGAGCGUUAUCCGGAAUUACUGGGUUUAAAGGGUGCGUAGGCGGCUUGGUAAGUCAGGAGUGAAAGUUUGCGGCUCAACCGUAAAAUUGCUUUUGAUACUGCCAGGCUAGAAUCAGGAUGAGGUCAGCGGAAUGUGGCAUGUAGCGGUGAAAUGCAUAGAUAUGCCAUAGAACACCUAUUGCGAAGGCAGCUGGCUAGACCUGUAUUGACGCUGAGGCACGAAAGCGUGGGGAGCGAACAGGAUUAGAUACCCUGGUAGUCCACGCCCUAAACGAUGCUUACUCGACGUAUGGCGCUAGACGUUGUGCGUCCAAGGGAAACCGUUAAGUAAGCCACCUGGGGAGUACGACCGCAAGGUUG